AGGUAAACAAAGAUUUUAUUUAUUUAUUUAUUUUAGGAAAAUAAUAUAUAUGUCAAUAUAUAAAUAUUUAAUAAAGGUAGAUUGCUAGGGGUGAGCAUUCGGUUAAUAACCGAACCGAAUCAGAAUUUCGGUUAUAUCCGAAAUCCGAAAAUGCACUAUUUCAUGUAUCCGAAUAAAUAACCGAAUUUUGUAUUAACCGAAAAACCGAAAACCCGAAAAAUCGAAUAAGUAAUUCGGUUAAUAACCGAAUUAAAAAGAAUUAGCAGCAAGCCAGCAACACAGUUCAAUUCUUACAAUUCCUACAACACAGACACAGUUCCUACAACAAAACCCAUAAACAACAACAAACAAUGGACGCCUCUUAUCUGCAACAAAUCAAUUACAUCUCAUCUCCAAUUCGUUCCUCCACCAACCGUCUCUUCACAACUUCGGUAUUUCUCACCAAAAAACCUAGAAAUGACAAUCCAUUUAUGCAGACUUGCAGAGACACAUUUGCAGAUUUGCUUCGUGGGGUUGUGAGCAAUAAAAAAGAUGAAAUUGAACGGGUCUGUGACGAUGUUCAGAUUUCGAGCUGAGAAGCCUCGUGAGUCGUGAGCUUGGUUUCGAGCUCCAAUACACAUCUGCUUGGUUUCGGUCCUUUCGAAUCUUCAGGUUUGUUCGGCGAUGGCCGAAGGCGAAGGCGAUGGAGAUCUGAGAGUUGAGGCUUGACUCUUGAGAGAUCUCAGAUCUGAGAGUGACUGAGACUAGACGAGAAGAUGAGAGAGAUCAGAGAUCUAAUGAAUAAUGAGAGAGAUCUGUCGAUCUGAUAUGAGACUGAGCCGACCAAGAGGUCUGAGACUGAGAGAGAUUGGAGUCUUAACAGUCGAGUGGAGUAUUGCCACUCUUAGUCUCUCUCUUCUCUUAGUCUCUUUUACUUGUGACCGACUGUAGAGUAGCUUGAGUUGCUUGACUAGUUGUCAGUUAACUGCGAAUUUUUAAUUUAGUAAUGUGUUGUUCGGUUAUUCGGUUUAACCGAAUAACCUAAAAAUGAUACCCGUACAACUUAACCG
This 1049-nucleotide long non-coding RNA is filed under the name Panax ginseng (ginseng). Its description in RNAcentral is "long non-coding RNA (PGIN_LNC013368)". Lineage: Eukaryota; Viridiplantae; Streptophyta; Magnoliopsida; Apiales; Araliaceae. The record is from RNAcentral.